AGAAUCAACGCUGGCGGCGUGCCUAACACAUGCAAGUCGAACGAGAAAGUGGAGCAAUCCAUGAGUAAAGUGGCGCACGGGUGAGUAACACGUGACUAACCUACCCUUGAGUGGGGGAUAACCUAAGGGAAACCUGGGCUAAUACCGCAUAAUACCUUCGGGUCAAAGGAGCAAUUCGCUUAAGGAGGGGUCGCGGCCGAUUAGUUAGUUGGCGGGGUAAUGGCCCACCAAGACGAUGAUCGGUAU
This 246-nucleotide ribosomal RNA is filed under the name uncultured bacterium. RNAcentral describes it as "partial small subunit ribosomal RNA". It matches the Rfam family "Bacterial small subunit ribosomal RNA", at positions 26 to 286 of the family's 1533-position model. The record is from RNAcentral.